RNAcentral lists this ribosomal RNA (502 nucleotides) under uncultured bacterium. Its description in RNAcentral is "bacterial SSU rRNA". It matches the Rfam family "Bacterial small subunit ribosomal RNA", at positions 10 to 507 of the family's 1533-position model. The record is from RNAcentral.
AGUUUGAUCCUGGCUCAGAUUGAACGCUGGCGGCAUGCCUUACACAUGCAGGUCGAACGGCAGCACGGGAGCAAUCCUGGUGGCGAGUGGCGAACGGGUGAGUAAUAUAUCGGAACGUGCCCAGUCGUGGGGGAUAACGUAGAGAAAUUUACGCUAAUACCGCAUACGAUCUAAGGAUGAAANCGGGGGACCGUAAGGCCUCGCGCGAUUGGAGCGGCUGAUAUCAGAUUAGGUUGUUGGUGAGGUAAAAGCUCACCAAGCCGACGAUCUGUAGCUGGUUUGAGAGAACGACCAGCCACACUGGGACUGAGACACGGCCCAGACUCCUACGGGAGGCAGCAGUGGGGAAUUUUGGACAAUGGGCGAAAGCCUGAUCCAGCAAUGCCGCGUGCAGGAAGAAGGCCUUCGGGUUGUAAACUGCUUUUGUACGGAACGAAAAGGUCUGCCCUAAUACGGCGGGCCCAUGACGGUACCGUAAGAAUAAGCACCGGCUAACUACGUG